ACGAACGCUGGCGGCAUGCCUAACACAUGCAAGUCGAACGAGACCUUCGGGUCUAGUGGCGCACGGGUGCGUAACGCGUGGGAACCUGCCCUUAGGUUCGGAAUAACUCCCCGAAAGGGGUGCUAAUACCGGAUAAUGUCUUCGGACCAAAGAUUUAUCGCCUUUGGAUGGGCCCGCGUUGGAUUAGCUAGUUGGUAGGGUAAAAGCCUACCAAGGCGACGAUCCAUAGCUGGUCUGAGAGGAUGAUCAGCCACACUGGGACUGAGACACGGCCCAGACUCCUAUGGGAGGCAGCAGUGGGGAAUAUUGGACAAUGGGCGAAAGCCUGAUCCAGCAAUGCCGCGUGAGUGAUGAAGGCCUUAGGGUUGUAAAGCUCUUUUACCCGGGAUGAUAAUGACAGUACCGGGAGAAUAAGCGCCGGCUAACUCCGUG
This 432-nucleotide ribosomal RNA is filed under the name uncultured bacterium. RNAcentral's name for it is "partial 16S ribosomal RNA". It matches the Rfam family "Bacterial small subunit ribosomal RNA", at positions 29 to 507 of the family's 1533-position model. The record is from RNAcentral.